Molecule: ribosomal RNA, 440 nt
Filed under: uncultured bacterium
Lineage: Bacteria
Description: partial 16S ribosomal RNA
Rfam family: Bacterial small subunit ribosomal RNA
Source: RNAcentral
CCUACGGGAUGCAGCAGUGGGGAAUAUUGCACAAUGGGGGAAACCCUGAUGCAGCGACGCCGCGUGAGCGAAGAAGUAUCUCGGUAUGGAAAGCUCUAUCAGCAGGGAAGCAAAUGACGGUACCUGACUACGAAGCCCCGGCUCACUACGUGCCAGCAGCCGCGGUAAUACGUAGGGGGCAAGCGUUAUCCGGAUUUACUGGGUGUAAAGGGAGCGUAGACGGCGGUGCAAGCCAGCUGUGAAAGCCCGGGGCUCAACCCCGGGACUGCAUUUGGAACUGGGGGGCUAGAGUGUCGGAGAGGCAGGCGGAAUGCCGGGUGUAGCGGUGAAAUGCGUAGAUAUUAGGAGGAACACCAGUGGCGAAGGCGGCCUGCUGGACGGAGACUGACGUUGAGGCUCGAAAGCGUGGGGAGCAAACAGGAUUAGAUACCCGAGUAGUC